Molecule: non-coding RNA, 26 nt
Filed under: Cricetulus griseus (Chinese hamster)
Lineage: Eukaryota; Metazoa; Chordata; Mammalia; Rodentia; Cricetidae
Source: RNAcentral
AGGACUUAUGUGAUUGAGACCAAAGC